This 640-nucleotide ribosomal RNA is filed under the name Bacillus sp. 124(2013). Its description in RNAcentral is "bacterial SSU rRNA". It matches the Rfam family "Bacterial small subunit ribosomal RNA", at positions 67 to 692 of the family's 1533-position model. The record is from RNAcentral. Lineage: Bacteria; Bacillati; Bacillota; Bacilli; Caryophanales; Bacillaceae.
CUGAUUAGAAGCUUGCUUCUAUGACGUUAGCGGCGGACGGGUGAGUAACACGUGGGCAACCUGCCUGUAAGACUGGGAUAACUUCGGGAAACCGAAGCUAAUACCGGAUAGGAUCUUCUCCUUCAUGGGAGAUGAUUGAAAGAUGGUUUCGGCUAUCACUUACAGAUGGGCCCGCGGUGCAUUAGCUAGUUGGUGAGGUAACGGCUCACCAAGGCCACGAUGCAUAGCCGACCUGAGAGGGUGAUCGGCCACACUGGGACUGAGACACGGCCCAGACUCCUACGGGAGGCAGCAGUAGGGAAUCUUCCGCAAUGGACGAAAGUCUGACGGAGCAACGCCGCGUGAGUGAUGAAGGCUUUCGGGUCGUAAAACUCUGUUGUUAGGGAAGAACAAGUACAAGAGUAACUGCUUGUACCUUGACGGUACCUAACCAGAAAGCCACGGCUAACUACGUGCCAGCAGCCGCGGUAAUACGUAGGUGGCAAGCGUUAUCCGGAAUUAUUGGGCGUAAAGCGCGCGCAGGCGGUUUCUUAAGUCUGAUGUGAAAGCCCACGGCUCAACCGUGGAGGGUCAUUGGAAACUGGGGAACUUGAGUGCAGAAGAGAAAAGCGGAAUUCCACGUGUAGCGGUGAAAUGCGUA